RNAcentral lists this long non-coding RNA (1163 nucleotides) under Sorghum bicolor (sorghum). RNAcentral's name for it is "long non-coding RNA (SBIC_LNC013194)". Lineage: Eukaryota; Viridiplantae; Streptophyta; Magnoliopsida; Poales; Poaceae. The record is from RNAcentral.
ACCAGGCGCAGCCUCAAGGCGGAGGCCAAGGGCGAGUGGCUCCCCGGCCUUCCCUCCCCCGCCUACCUCGACGGCAGGUCAGUGUUUCUUUUUCUCUAAUAAUAACUCUGGCCAUGGCCGCCGCAGCGACGGCCGGCAGCCUGACUGACUGGCCUGACUGACAUGGCCACCGCGCGCGCGCAGCCUGCCGGGUGACAAUGGCUUCGACCCGUUGGGCCUGGCGGAGGACCCCGAGAACCUGCGGUGGUUCGUGCAGGCGGAGCUGGUGAACGGGCGGUGGGCGAUGCUCGGCGUGGCCGGGAUGCUGAUCCCGGAGGUGCUGACCAAGGCCGGGCUCAUCAACGCGCCGCAGUGGUACGACGCCGGCAAGUCGGAGUACUUCGCGUCGUCGUCGACGCUGUUCGUGAUCGAGUUCAUCCUGUUCCACUACGUGGAGAUCCGGCGGUGGCAGGACAUCAAGAACCCCGGCAGCGUCAACCAGGACCCCAUCUUCAAGAGCUACAGCCUGCCGCCGCACGAGUGCGGCUACCCCGGCAGCGUCUUCAACCCGCUCAACUUCGCGCCCACGCUCGAGGCCAAGGAGAAGGAGCUCGCCAACGGUGAGCACCACUACCAUCGAUACCUCCGCACGGUCGCCGGCCACUUCCGAUGAUCCUUCCCUCUGACGACGACUAAUCAUAUGCAUCCGGUUAUUAAUUGUUAAUUCUGCGUGCAGGGAGGCUGGCGAUGCUGGCGUUCCUGGGCUUCCUGAUCCAGCACAACGUCACCGGCAAGGGGCCCUUCGACAACCUGCUGCAGCACCUGUCUGACCCAUGGCACAACACCAUCAUCCAGACCCUCUCUUAGUCGAUGAUAUAUAUCCAGGUCAUGUAAAAUGUGAUCCAUCGCUAGCGAGCUGAUGGGGACUGGAAGGCAAACAUUGAAGCGCGGUCGUCGAUGUUAAUUCCUUUCUGGAUCAGUUUGUGUGAUGUGUGUUGUUAAUCGAUCUGGAGGGUAUAGAUUCGGACCGGGUUUGUUGUAACUUGUAAUGCAUGGUAUGAAGAGAGAGAGGGCUGAGGAGUGACACUGCUGGUAUGUACAUUAAUCCAAGGGGAGGGCUAAGGGUAAGAUUGUUUGAUCAGUAUCCUCAUCGAUCUAUCCCGAUGGGGUUCCUCUUGUGCUUA